UCCUUCCUGCCUCUCCGCCCAUCCCUUUGUUUGCCCAGGCUGCUGUCCUGGCAAACAGCAGGUGCUGGGGUCAGAACAACAGUGUCCCUCUGCAGACUGAGCCCAGAUGGGGAGUCAGGACUCAAUCACGCAAACUCCAGCUGGGCCAGGACAGCCUCACCCGAAGGCAGCUCGGGCUGCAUCCAGAGUAGAAACCACUGCAGCCCAGAGGGAUAAGGAGGAGAUAAACAGGGGAAGGCGGCGGACAAUACAGCCACUAUGUCAGUGACCUGAGUCGAGGGACCUUACCUCCCCCAGGGCACACAAAGGGGUCAGUGACAAGGACAGAGACACCGAACUCUAGCAACCGAAACUGGAUGGGGAUAAAGUGUUGCUGAAACUUUAGGACCUGAAGCCUGUAAGUCACAAACCAGUGUCACAUGAUCUCAACCUUAAAUCUUUGACCUUAUGACCUCCUGACCUUUGACCUUUAGGCGUAAGCCGCAAUAUGCAAGCUAAGAGAAGUCAGGGUGACCUUAAAAUGUAAAAUCGAGCCUGUUUACAGUGAAGAAUCAGAAACUGAGGCAUUAAAGGCGUCAUGUGACUUGGCCAAGGUCAUCUAGUUACUGAAUGAGCAUCAGUCUUCGGACCCAGCUGCUCAGAAUCUAAAGCCUCCCUCUCUGUGCCUCGACGUCACUGCUCUUCACAUGAGAAUGUCAUCCCAGAUGUAAUCAUCCCAGAUCAGCAUGGAGGAAGUCAUGAUAGUCCUCCUCAAGGUUUGCUACGUGUCCAGCAAACACGCCAGGCUUUAAAUUCACUGCCGAGUUCAGCCCUGUUAACGUCCAUCAGGCAGGGUAUUACUGUGUCCUGGUUUUCCGAUGGGACGCAGAGCUCAGGAAGGCUGGUGACUUACUUGCCCAAGGUUGUGGAGAAAGUCAGGACAGAAAGCAGGGCACACGUAGAGUGCAAAGCCCCAGGAACUAACGAUGAAGCUAAUCUCAUCCCGAUUUGACGUAGCCGUCCACUCACCCUGUGUGUGAACACAUCUCGCGUCUGAGACCAUUUGCAGCGUAGGCUUUGAGUUUCUCGUCUUGGACCCCAGGAACCCAAGUGCCUGUGUAAAGAUCAAACUCAUAGCUUCAUCUCAUAGCUCACUGUCUAAAGGGGCUCUUAACCCACAGAGUUGAAUCAUGACCACAUAGACUGUUCCUGAACUUUCUAGUUGUCCUUUGUGAAGGCAUUACCUAAAACACAUCUGCCUGGAUUGCACCCCGUCCCAGCUCAACUGGACUGACUGUCUACAUCACGAGGCCAUAUCCUGGUCCCUUAAGGAAAGGACUCUGUCUGAGUUAGCUUCAGCUAAUGUGGUCUCAGUUUCUUCACAUGUAACGUGAGGUUAUCUCCAAAGCCCCUGUGUCCAGCUUCCUGUGGAUUCACCAUGCAUGCAUCUGGUGAAUCUGAAAAACAAAACAAAACAAACUCCUGGUCGUGACAGACCCCUGGAACAAUGCCACAGUGUCGUGGGCUCUCGGUCCACCUCUUAGGAGGUUUGUUCAGACAGCGUUCGCCUUUAUCAGUGCUGCCCAAGACAUCACCCCCGGCUCAGUGAUUUCAGAUUUCACCCUUGUGUUAUGCUCUGGAUGUUGUGGGCUAGAAUACAGUGGGAAUCAUUCUUAGUUCCCUGAUGCUGAAUGCUUGGCUGAAAACAAGUCAGAGGCUGGGGAUGAAGCAGGGGCUGUGCCUUGGUUUCUUUUUGCUGCUAUGACAAAAUAAGCAACAGAAAUAGAGACUGAGAGAGUAAUGACAUGGACUUGGGAAGCAGUUAGGUCUGCAGCCAGCUCCCUCCUGACUCCCCCCAGUCAACGGCUUCCAUGAAUUCCCUGCUUAACAAAAGCGGCCCUGAAUGGCUGCCCUGCCUCGCCAUGCUGCCUUGGAGCCAACUGAGUGUGGACUGAAACCUCCAAGAACUGUAAGAAGUAAACCAUUUUUUCCCUAACUUUGGGUGUCAGCUUUCGUUUCUCAGUGACUAGUAAAAGUAACUAAGCAGGUAUCACAAGGAAAAUUAACAAUGGCUGAGAAGCGAACCCCAUCCUGCCUCUGAACCUCUUGUACCCUCAUAUUGUUUUACCCAUCAUAAUUCAGGCUUAUUUACUCAUAGCUGAGAACAUUAUUAAUGGACACUCAAGACUGCCAGCAAGCAGGACAUGGUGAUCAAUGCCUGCGAUCUCAGCAUGUGGGAGGCUGAGGCAAGAGGACAACCUGGACUAUUGAGUGUGAUGGGUCUUUAAAAAGACUAAGAGCAUUGUGUGAAAAUUCUUUUCUCCUUCUUAAAAUGAAAUUUCAAAAGGGUCGCCAAAUUGAAUAUUUUUUCUAAAAAUUUGUAUUGUCCUUGGCUGGUUAUUUACUUAAUAUUGCUGGCAGAAAAAUGGACUUCUCUCACUUUGGGGUCAUUGUGGAUUAAAGAGCCAAUCUGGAUGCUAUUAAUAAAAAAGUCUUUUAAAGUUUUCCAAAAUAGAAAUAUUCAAGCUCAGCUGGGAAACUAGGGCUUUGGCAACUCCAAGAAUUGUAACAAAGAGGAACUGAAAUGCUAACCCUAACAUAAAAGCCAGAAAAGGAGGAAAGCUCCUACAAGCAUCGCACAAAAAGGAAGAACAUAAACCCAGCAGACACACAGACAAUUUCCAAGUCCAUGGGGCUUGCUGGAAAGCCACAUCUGAUGUCUAGAAUGUCCCCCGUGAAGGCUUGGGUGUUCUGAGGCAGAGCUUGUGGAACGAAACUGGAUCUCAGCAGUGCUGUUCUCAUCAUGGAUUCAUCUAUGGAUGAGGUCAGAAUUGAAUGUGAUGCUGGGAGGUGGGCCUGGUCAGAAGAGGGGUCACUGUGGGUGUGAUUGUGAGGGUGCAUUGUCUCCAUCACCCUCUGCUGUGCCUUUCCACUGGGCUGUUUCUGCCUUGAACCAACUGACUGUGGACCAAACCGAGUGAGCCAAAACCUUCAAAUUCCAAGUGUGGGACGUUAUGUCCAGCAGUGAGAAAGUGACUAAGACACCAUCCCUGGAGAGUGAAUGGUCCCAGUGGAAACUCAGCCCGGGAAGUCUUGGCAAUGCAGACUGCAGUGGAACCAAUCCAAUGACAGAAACCCUUGUAUUAAUUAUAAAAAUGAGGUCCUGUCAACUGUGACCAGCAAGCCCACUGUGACCUGACACUUCUCCUGUGUGGUUCAUGAGCGAGAAUUGCUUUUCCUUUUAUAAGUGGUUGAAAAAUAAUCACAAGGAGAAUACUGUUGGGUGACAUGUGGUCAUUAGCAAAAAUGGGAAUGACGUUAUUAAUAUGUAAGCUACGCUCACUCCUUUACAAAUUAUCUGCAGCCACUUUUGUGCCACAAUAGCAGAGCCCAGUGGUUGCCACUUGAAGGCCUGCAAAACUCAAAGACAGACUGCCUGACCCUGCAGAAAAUGUGUUGCCCUGCUAUACAAUUUGCAACCUGAGCCAUCACACCUCCCACAAGAUACCUUAAUAGUGCAUCGAAUGUCGAGCAGGAAUCAGGCAGUUAAGCAGGAGGAGGCAGGAUGCUGAUGCAAAGCCAGGUCCCCACAUCUUCUUAGGAGGUGGUUGUUAAAAUAAUAUGACAAAAUUAGGUCAGUAAUGAACAAUACUGGGAAAUUUGAAGCGUAUUGAAAAGUAUCUGCAAAAUAAAAGAGAAAAAAGUAAAAGACAAUAAAAUUGCCUUUAAACAC
Cavia porcellus (domestic guinea pig) is the source of this 3712-nucleotide long non-coding RNA. RefSeq lists it as uncharacterized. The transcript is spliced from 5 exons. Lineage: Eukaryota; Metazoa; Chordata; Mammalia; Rodentia; Caviidae. The record is from RefSeq and is a predicted model, not a curated record.